GGUGAGUAACACAUGGAUAACCUACCUAUAAGACUGGGAUAACUUCGGGAAACCGGAGCUAAUACCGGAUAAUAUAUUGAACCGCAUGGUUCAAUAGUGAAAGACGGUUUUGCUGUCACUUAUAGAUGGAUCCGCGCCGCAUUAGCUAGUUGGUAAGGUAACGGCUUACCAAGGCGACGAUGCGUAGCCGACCUGAGAGGGUGAUCGGCCACACUGGAACUGAGACACGGUCCAG
Molecule: ribosomal RNA, 235 nt
Filed under: uncultured Staphylococcus sp.
Lineage: Bacteria; Bacillati; Bacillota; Bacilli; Caryophanales; Staphylococcaceae
Description: partial 16S ribosomal RNA
Rfam family: Bacterial small subunit ribosomal RNA
Source: RNAcentral